This 131-nucleotide unclassified non-coding RNA is filed under the name soil metagenome. RNAcentral describes it as "partial internal transcribed spacer 1". The record is from RNAcentral.
UAGCCGUAUCGGAAGGUGCGGCUGGAUCACCUCCUUUCUAAGGAAAUCGAGUAGAAGUUAUUCACUGUUGAGUUAUCAAUGAGCACUGCCGGAAGAGCAGGCAUGGCAGACGCAGAUUUAUCUGCAGGAUG